CUCUCAAGCAAAAUUAGCCCUAAUUGAUUGGUUUAAUCUACUAUAUCUCUACAUCGAUUAAAACCAAACAAUUGCAUUAAAUAUUUAUGAAAAUAACUCAAAGGAUCACCUAGGGUUAGGGGUAUAUCUCUAUCAUUUACACAAACCUAGGAUUUCUAUUAUUUGGUCUAAAAUGCACAAUCUUCUCUCGAACGAUGUACAAAUCACUAAAUAUAAUCAUUCAUUUUACCACAUAAAUGAAAAUACAAUAAUUACAAUAGUAGAAACACAUGAAAAUAAGCAAAUUAAUAUCAAAUGGCAAAUAUUAAAAUUAAUCAAGGCUAAAUUAAACUACAACCAUAAAUCCCAACACAAAUAACUUAGCCCAUUUUAUAUUGAUAAUAAAAAGGAGAAUGUUUUAGACAAUACAUUACAAGUUUGACAAAAUAAUUGAUAAAGUACGAGGUAGAGAUUAAACCCCUUUUUGAGCUUGCUCUUGAUUUCCCCAAAACUUUGUCAAAUCCUUAGUUGAAUCUCCUUGUGCUCUAGAUUAUGCCCCAAAAAAUACUAAGGAAAAGAAUAGAAAAAAGAAAGAAAAAGAAAAGAGAAAGAGGAAGAAGCAGGUGACGGC
Molecule: long non-coding RNA, 610 nt
Filed under: Olea europaea subsp. europaea
Lineage: Eukaryota; Viridiplantae; Streptophyta; Magnoliopsida; Lamiales; Oleaceae
Source: RNAcentral